GCUGCCAUUAAUGAGAUUGCUAAGAUGUCAGUGCGCUCUCUUCAUUUUGAUCCACCUCCCGUCCAAUCUACCGUUAGUCCUUCUGCCUAACCUCUCUCCUUUUUUAUAUAUAAAACUAAUCAAAGCAAGUUGUAUGGAUUUUUCCUUUUUUGACUUCAUUUAAUUUGAUUUGUUUCAUAUUCAUGCAUCUUUCGUAUUUAUUUGUUUGCAAUGAUAGUUAUCUCAUUUAUGUACAAUUUGUUGAACAGCCCUUGAUGAUGAAUUGGAAAUUUGAAAUGAAUUGAAUAUUUUUGAGCAGUUUUCAUUCAAUUAGGAGUUUUGUCAGAAUUGUUGAUAUUGUCGGCAAUGUAAGCUGUAUGGGGUUUUUCCUUUUUGGCUUAAUUACACUUUUGAUUUGUUCACCUGGUUCCACAUUCAAGGAAUUCCCCUGCUUGUUUUGAAUGUGAUGCUAAUUAGUCUGUCCAUGUUUUUCCAAAUUCCAAUGUCAGCAAAAUGGAUAAUCUGAUGUUGUCUUUGCUAUGGAUAUUUUUUUUCCUUGUCACUAUCUUUCUUGACAUGGAGGUGGCAUAGCAUAACUCCAUGUUAGCAACAAGAGGGUUGUAGGCACAAUGAAUAUAGAGGGACCAAAUUUGUAUCAAUUUGAAAAACAAUGAGUAAGAUUGUUGAAAUUGGAUGGGGCUGUAAAAAAUGUUCAGGGGCUAUAAAGACCAUGAGCCAGAAUUAAAAGUUUAUGGUGUCUACUCAUAUUUACCCCACAAUUCAAGGAAUGUGCUUUAGUGUAUGCAUUCCUCCCAAAUAGGAAGUAGUGGGGGUUUCACAAAUGAACUUCUGUGAAAUUAGAGAGAACUGAAGUGUAGAAACCUUUCCCCCUUAUCCCGUAGUGGAUAUUAGUCUUGUUUCUCGCAUUCUAUUUAGCUAAAGAAGCAAACUAAUUAUGCUGGCGUUUUUGUGUUGCUAAUUUACUUCAUUGAUGUUAGGCAGCCAUAAUGGCAAAGGAGAAGAAUGUUUUUAUUGUUUGACUGAAAUUUGGCAGAACAAGCAGAAAGACUCACCUCCAUCGGUUUCCCCUUUCCACAAAGGGUCUCCCCUUUCAAAAAUCUCUAUAUGAGUGUUUCCAACCAUGUUGCCCUUAUUUAAUCCCAUUCCAACUAUCUAACGAAUCCCCUCUAACUAACUAUCUAAGUGCCAUUCUGCUAAUAAUUAGGCUUCCCUUUUGCUCUUAUUUGUCUUUCAAUUUUCUGCCAUCAGUAGUUAAUUUUUCAUUAAUGUGAUCACCAAGUGAUUGUCAAGGUUAGUUGAAGCAUUUCUAGAAGACACAGUGGAAAAUGUAAUUUUAAUGUGGGGGUGGUUUGCAUAAUUAUGCUGGCAUUUUUGUGUGAAUUAAUCCAUCUUUCUUGGUUCCAGUUAAUUGACCACGUUUGGUUUGGGUUUCUAUAAUUCAACAUUUCUUCCUUUUGAAAGAAAAUGGAGUGUUAUAGAUUUACUUGUUCCUAUUGAAGUGAAUAGAUUCCUUUUCCAGAAGUAUUGAUGAUGUAUGUUUGGCAAUGGUGUUAGAUUUAUUAGUAAGUAUUGUUAUCAGUAAAACAUGUUGAACCUCAGCUCCUGUCUGAAAUGUUAAUAUUAUCAUACUUGGUGUAUAUAUUCCAGCCUUACGAUUUCAAUGUGUACCCUUUCAGAGAGCAAAGGAAUUUAGUAAAAGUCUGAAGCAAGCUGAGAAAGGAAAAGAAGCAACAGCGUCUAGGCAUGUUUAGACAUUAGAGUGUAGAGCAUUCAACCCUCUGGGUUGCACUUGAAAAUGAUCAAUUGCUUCGGAUCAGAAGUUUGUAUUGAUAAGCCAAAAAAAGUACUCAGAUUUUCAUGCUUCCGUAGUGGGGAUAAAGUAUGUAUUUUAAUAGGUUGUGGUUCUUUCAAAUUUUGCAGUCGAUUUCAAAGUCUCGAUGAAUUGAGGCGUAGUAAAUUGAAGCACAAUCUUUUUGUGGUUUGUUCAAGUUUUAUAUCUCCCAUGUUUAUUUACAUUUGUGUCUUGAUUAUAUCAAUACCAAGUUGGCUUAGCCAGCUUAUAAAGGGUAGUGAGAAGGAAGAAUUCCUGCAAUGUCAU
RNAcentral lists this long non-coding RNA (2098 nucleotides) under Lupinus mutabilis. RNAcentral describes it as "partial ncRNA". Lineage: Eukaryota; Viridiplantae; Streptophyta; Magnoliopsida; Fabales; Fabaceae. The record is from RNAcentral.